AUGCUGCUGUCAAAACCUGCCGCUUGUGCUGUUGGCAGUCCUCUGCACCUACCACAGCUCCACCGGUCGCAGUCUGCAGCAGUCCACACACGUUCUCAUUCAGAGGUCUUUGUUUCCCUUGCACACACGUUCACAUUGACCUGCCGUGUCCAGUCAAGCAUGCCUUCACGUCCAUGUCUGGUACACAAAUCCUUCAAAAGUCAUCUUCACCCAAGAUCAUCCAACCUUCAACCUCUCUUGUCUCUACUCUGUAUUUUGCUCAGCCUUUUCUCCUUCGACACAUCGGCAUUAGCUGCAUCACAAGCAACCAUGUCCGAGAUUGAUCGCCAUGCCCUCCUCUGCUUCAAGUCCGGCAUCAGCUCUGAUCCCCUUGGCAUCCUACGCUCAUGGAGCAAUGGCUCGCUUGACUUUUGCAGCUGGAAAGCGGUCGCUUGCGGCACCAAGUUUCCACCCCGGGUGGUCUCUCUUAACCUCACCGCCGCUCGUCUUGGUGGGCAGUUAUCUGGAUGCGUCGGCAACCUGACAUUUCUUUCUCGGAUGAACCUUGCUGAUAAUCAUCUGUCAGGAACCAUCCCUGGAGAGCUGGGUAAGCUUCCAAACCUCCAUACACUGAAUCUUGCCGGCAGCAAUUUUCAAGGUAACAUCCCUGAUUCACUAGGCACUAGCAGUUUUCUUACCUACGUCAAUCUUGCAAACAACACUCUUACUGGUGGCAUCCCUCUCUCACUGGCCAAUAGCGCCUCACUCAGCACACUUAUACUGUCACGUAAUAACCUCUCUGGGGAGAUCCCUUCUACUUUGUUUGGUAAUUCAUCCAAGCUUACCGUCGUUGAUCUCCAGAUGAAUUUUUUCACUGGUCCCAUCCCACAUUUCCAUAAGGUCACAACACUCAAAUUUCUUCGUCUGACAGACAACUUCCUCUCUAGGAGCAUACCUCCUUCAAUAGGAAAUGUUUCUUCCCUCACUUCUAUAUUGCUCGGCCGAAAUAGGUUAUCGGGAUUAAUUCCAGAGACUUUGAGUCACACUGCAAAACUGCUUGAGCUUGAUCUAAGUUUCAACGGCUUAUCAGGGAGUGUCCCGUUGUCUUUUUACAACAUGACAUCACUCGAAUUCUUCAAUGCGGGCAGCAAUGCCCUUGUUGGACAGAUGCCAUCUCACAUUGGUUUCUCACUACCAAACCUCCAGAUCCUUGUCAUGGGAAGCAACAGGUUGGAGGGCCUGAUCCCUGCUUCACUAUCCAACAUGUUAAAUCUCCAAACACUUGAUCUUUCAAACAACUUGUUACAUGGCUCUGUGCCAUAUCUUGGUUCUUUGGCAAACUUACGUCGGUUGGAUUUAGGAAUGAACUUGCUAGAAGCACAUAACUGGUCAUUCCUUACAUCUCUAGCAAAUUGCACCCAGCUGACAAAGUUGUCCUUGGAAGGGAAUCUUCUAAAUGGCAGCCUACCUAUAUCAACUGUUAAUCUUUCCAGGAGGCUAGAACAUUUAUCGCUUGGGUCAAACCAAAUUUUGGGCUCCAUACCUGUUGAGAUUAGCAAUUUUGUUAAUCUCACUUCACUUGGGAUGGAGAGUAAUUUUCUUUCUGGAAGCAUACCUUCUACCAUCGGGAAGCUACAGAACCUAUACAUCCUGAAUCUAUCAAAGAACAAAUUAUCAGGUCAGAUCCCUCCCUCAGUGGGUGGCAUUACUCAACUGGGCAAACUUUAUCUUGAUGAUAACAACUUGAGUGGAAACAUACCUGGUAGUUUAGGUCAGUGCAAGGGACUUCUUGAACUAAACUUGUCUCGGAACAAUCUUGACGGGUCAGUACCAGACGAACUGUUUGCUUAUCCUCCACUCUCCUUGGUUCUGGACUUCUCACACAACAAUCUCACAGGGGAACUACCAUUGGUAGUUGGUACACAUAGCAGUGGUGGUCCAGUAUCCCUUCACAUGGAAGGAAACAAGUUUCAUGGACAGAUUCCAGAAAGAUGGCAUCUAUUUUUUCCUGUUGAAUACUCCUGCAAAAUACUGCUGGCGAAAAUAUCGGCCUCCUCCGGUGCCCAAGGAGCAAGAAAGUGGACCAAGCCGAUAUUU
RNAcentral lists this ribosomal RNA (2076 nucleotides) under Triticum aestivum (bread wheat). RNAcentral's name for it is "partial small subunit ribosomal RNA". Lineage: Eukaryota; Viridiplantae; Streptophyta; Magnoliopsida; Poales; Poaceae. The record is from RNAcentral.